CGUAGGGUGCGAGCGUUAAUCGGAAUUACUGGGCGUAAAGCGUGCGCAGGCGGUUUUGUAAGACAGAUGUGAAAUCCCCGGGCUCAACCUGGGACCUGCAUUUGUGACUGCAAGGCUAGAGUACGGUAGAGGGGGAUGGAAUUCCGCGUGUAGCAGUGAAAUGCGUAGAUAUGCGGAGGAACACCGAUGGCGAAGGCAAUCCCCUGGACCUGUACUGACGCUCAUGCACGAAAGCGUGGGGAGCAAACAGGAUUAGAUACCCUGGUAGUCCGCGCCCUAAACGAUGUCAACUGGUUGUUGGGUCUUUACUGACUCAGUAACGAAGCUAACGCGUGAAGUUGACCGCCUGGGGAGUACGGCCGCAAGGUUG
RNAcentral lists this ribosomal RNA (370 nucleotides) under uncultured organism. RNAcentral describes it as "bacterial SSU rRNA". It matches the Rfam family "Bacterial small subunit ribosomal RNA", at positions 526 to 896 of the family's 1533-position model. The record is from RNAcentral.